UGGGGAAUAUUGGACAAUGGGCGCAAGCCUGAUCCAGCAACGCCGCGUGGAGGAUGAAGGUCUUCGGAUCGUAAACUCCUGUCAGGUGGGACGAAGGUUCGUCGGCAAAUAGUUGUCGGACUUGACGGUACCACCAGAGGAAGCCCCGGCUAACUCCGUGCCAGCAGCCGCGGUAAUACGGAGGGGGCGAGCGUUAUUCGGAAUUAUUGGGCGUAAAGGGCGCGUAGGCGGCUUUGUAAGUCAAAGGUGAAAUCCCUCGGCUCAACUGAGGAACUGCCUUUGAAACUGCAAGGCUUGAGGCCGGGAGGGGGUAGCGGAAUUCCCAAUGUAGCGGUGAAAUGCGUAGAUAUUGGGAGGAACACCAGUGGCGAAGGCGGCUACCUGGACCGGUUCUGACGCUGAUGCGCGAAAGCGUGGGUAGCAAACAGGAUUAGAUACCCCUGUAGUCC
Molecule: ribosomal RNA, 449 nt
Filed under: uncultured bacterium
Lineage: Bacteria
Description: bacterial SSU rRNA
Rfam family: Bacterial small subunit ribosomal RNA
Source: RNAcentral